AUUGAACGCUGGCGGCAGGCCUAACACAUGCAAGUCGAGCGGAUGAAGGGAGCUUGCUCCUGGAUUCAGCGGCGGACGGGUGAGUAAUGCCUAGGAAUCUGCCUGGUAGUGGGGGAUAACGUCCGGAAACGGGCGCUAAUACCGCAUACGUCCUGAGGGAGAAAGUGGGGGAUCUUCGGACCUCACGCUAUCAGAUGAGCCUAGGUCGGAUUAGCUAGUUGGUGGGGUAAAGGCCUACCAAGGCGACGAUCCGUAACUGGUCUGAGAGGAUGAUCAGUCACACUGGAACUGAGACACGGUCCAGACCCCUACGGGAGGCAGCAGUGGGGAAUAUUGGACAAUGGGCGAAAGCCUGAUCCAGCCAUGCCGCGUGUGUGAAGAAGGUCUUCGGAUUGUAAAGCACUUUAAGUUGGGAGGAAGGGCAGUAAGUUAAUACCUCGCUGUUUUGACGUUACCAACAGAAUAAGCACCGGCUAACUUCGUG
RNAcentral lists this ribosomal RNA (484 nucleotides) under uncultured bacterium. Its description in RNAcentral is "partial 16S ribosomal RNA". It matches the Rfam family "Bacterial small subunit ribosomal RNA", at positions 30 to 507 of the family's 1533-position model. The record is from RNAcentral.